RNAcentral lists this transfer RNA (86 nucleotides) under Escherichia coli. RNAcentral describes it as "tRNA-Leu". It matches the Rfam family "tRNA". From Rfam's summary of the family: Transfer RNA (tRNA) molecules are approximately 80 nucleotides in length. Their secondary structure includes four short double-helical elements and three loops (D, anti-codon, and T loops). Lineage: Bacteria; Pseudomonadati; Pseudomonadota; Gammaproteobacteria; Enterobacterales; Enterobacteriaceae. The record is from RNAcentral.
GCCCGGAUGGUGGAAUCGGUAGACACAGGGAUUUAAAAUCCCUCGGCGUUCGCGCUGUGCGGGUUCAAGUCCCGCUCCGGGUACCA